This is a non-coding RNA of Pseudonaja textilis, 774 nucleotides long. Lineage: Eukaryota; Metazoa; Chordata; Lepidosauria; Squamata; Elapidae. The record is from RefSeq and is a predicted model, not a curated record.
GGUCAAGGCUAAGGGGGACAUCAUCCGAACAGGGACACACAGGCAGCCAGUGGAACAGGGAACAGAAACCAAAGGGGACUUCCUUUUGAAUCUCUUGGUGGAUGUCGACACUGCUCCCAAGAUCCACUUGCUCCUCUACACCAUUUUGCCCAGUGGAGAACUCGUUGCUGGCUUGAGAGACUUCACCGUAGAAACGUGCUUCUCCCACAAGGCCAAACUGUGGUUCUCGGAUCAAGAAGGUCUGCCUGGCCAGAAAGCCCAACUCCAUCUUUCAGCCUUCCCCGGUUCUCUCUGUGCCAUCCAUGCCGUUGACCAGAGUGUCUUUCUCUUCAAACCUGAAGCCGAGCUCUCCUCUGAGAAGGUAAGUUCCGAAUGCAUUUCAUUUGGGGUCUAGAUAUGUCCUGGCUGAUGCUGGUUUCAUCCCAAGAUUUACUUGUCCAUUGAGAUGUACUUCAAAUACGAUCACUUGCAGCCAUUUAUUUACAAUUUACACCAGAAGAUAGUGGUCACAACUAAAUUUAAGAAGUUAGGGGAGGAUUGCAGGGAAGGAGAAGUAAAGAAAAUUGUCCAUAAAUUAAUUUUAGGGGAAGAAAAUGUAGGAAAAAUAGAAAGACAAAGCAUGUAGACUGAGGGCAGCCCACUAUCACAGUCCAGAGAUUUUGCCAUAAUGCAAAGUAGUGUGUUAUAGUGGUGAAAGUAAUGGAUUAGGAAUAAAAUUCCUGAGGAACUUUGAGUCAGUCCCAUUCUCAGAGUGUCAAGGUUCCAACUGACAAA